RNAcentral lists this ribosomal RNA (394 nucleotides) under uncultured eukaryote. Its description in RNAcentral is "partial small subunit ribosomal RNA". It matches the Rfam family "Eukaryotic small subunit ribosomal RNA", at positions 30 to 432 of the family's 1831-position model. The record is from RNAcentral.
GCUUGUCUCAAAGAUUAAGCCAUGCAUGUCUAAGUAUAAGCACCCUUAUACUGCGAAACUGCGUACAGCUCAUUAUAUCAGCAAUUAUUUAUUUGAAGGUCACCUAUUACAUGGAUAACCGUGGUAAUUCUAGAGCUAAUACAUGCGAAAAGUCGGCGCAAGUCGAUGUAUUUAUUAGAUACAGAAUCAAUACGUGUUCUGCACGUUCUAUUGCGAUGAUUCAUAAUAACUGAUCGAAUCUCAAAUUUGAGAUAAAUCAUUCAAGUUUCUGCCCUAUCAGCUUUCGAUGGUAGUGUAUUGGACUACCAUGGCAGUAACGGGUAACGAAGAAUUAGGGUUCGAUUUCGGAGAGGGAGCAUGAGAAACGGCUACCACAUCUAAGGAAGGCAGCAGG